Papaver somniferum (opium poppy) is the source of this 1805-nucleotide long non-coding RNA. RefSeq lists it as uncharacterized. Lineage: Eukaryota; Viridiplantae; Streptophyta; Magnoliopsida; Ranunculales; Papaveraceae. The record is from RefSeq and is a predicted model, not a curated record. The transcript has 6 exons.
UAGCCCUAAAAGAUUAGCUUUCCUACUUUCCCACGAUUCAUUUACAUCUCCCACUCAACCCUUAACAGUUAACCCCACUACCUCUAUGGAACUGACGAGCAGAAAAAGAGAAAAAAAAGCCUCGGAAUUUCAGAGCCCCUGUUUGAUUUGAUCGAUACUCUUAAAAUUAGUUCUGCACAAUCACAAUCUCAAUAGGUAUGAUCACAACCUCAGUAAUUUUGGUAUUUAUUAUUGUUCGCCUUGAUAAUUUUGGAUUUUGCAGAACUGAUAUCUUUAGUUUUCGCAACCCCUUCUCAUUUGAUCUCUCCUCUGAAAAUCGCUUCUUCGUAAUCAUAAUCCCCUGAGAGAGGAUAUCACGGAUUUUGGGUUAAGUAAUUUGGUGCCUGUUGUUGUAUCCUUGAAUAAUCAAAUAGUUAGUCCAAUUCAAGCUCGGUAUGAUUAGAACCUGAGUAAUUUGGUGUCUAUUACUUGAAUAACAAAUAAGCAAUCACCGUAACCAUCUAUGUGAAUUCAUCAUUCUAAUUAAUUUUUGUUUUUCAUCUUUACGGAUUCAGGUUAGAUAAUUUUGACCAAACUAGACAUGAAUUCCUGAAUAUCUUUUGCGUGAGUCAACAAAAUGGUUUCCAGUAAAGGCAUCAAAGAUGAUGAUUCUGCAUUUUCCUCCAUUAUUUUAGGACUUGGAUGAGUUCAGAAACGAACUUGAAAUCAGUAAAGGCCAGGAAAAGCCAGAGAGUUAAGGAAAGAUAUCUUGGCUGUAAAAAGACGUCAGAAAAUUAAAACUCCUGAAAAUACUCGACUGUCGAGAAAGCCAUUGUCUCCUGUUGGUCUGGUCAUAGAUUUUGGCUGCACCUCACUAUUCUAAAAUUGUACUAGCUUUUGAGAUCUGCAUUAAGAGAAGCCGGUAAUACUGAUGACGGGUCAUAUACUUGGUCUCUUUCUUAUAUGCAAGAAAGUGUGUUCCAAGGAACAUGAAACAAGGGACGCAAAUGUGAAUGCAAUAAAGAAAUCCAUAGAGGCGGAAUGAACAACUAUAGAUAUCUUUGUCAUUACAAUUUCAAAAGAAAUAACUUUCAAAGACUCUCACGAUAAGGAAAAGAAGCCCAAGCCGGAAGGAAAGGUCUGCAGUUGGAUAAUAGUGUUCUAAAGCCUAGAAUCUUUGCUAAUGCCGAAUGGUGCUUCUAAGACAAUUCCUCUUGGAAUUUCCUAGGGAGAAGCCGAGAAGGUUAAUCAUUGAGCCGAAAGGAUGAUUUGAUUCACAAACAAGGAUUUGCUUAAGUAUUAUCAAUUCAUCAUGGCACUGACAACCGUCAAGCAGUGAUACAAUUCUUGAUCCACCGAUGAAGUGAACAAAACUGUUGGUACUUUGGUAUGUGUGACAGUAGUUAAUAGUACUAAUAGACUUCUGUUCAUUACUCUUUUGUGUAUGAUACCGUAGUAAACCACCUAGAAGAGUAUGUUCUGAAUUUAUCGCCAGACAAUGAUGGAAAAUAGAUAUGGAUGGAACUGUACAAUCACUGAGAGAUUUCGAUAUUCAUCAUGUCUGAUGCCGACAAUGGACGAUAUAAAAUGGCGGAACCUGGUCUUUGAUAUCUACUUUUUUGACGUCGGUUCUUAAAAUUACUAAAAGUGAUGGUAUGUAAUUGAUUUCCUGGAUUCGGGUAAUAUUUAAGAAAUGAAAAUUUUGUAAAAACUGAACAAUUUGCAAGCUCUCAACCGUUUGAUCAUAUUUUUGCUUAAAAAUAAAAAAUUGAUCAUAUUUUGAGUGUUUGUGGAUGCUAGAUUAUUGUGUUUUUUUAUUUCCUAAA